Non-coding RNA from Coniella lustricola, 87 nucleotides. Lineage: Eukaryota; Fungi; Ascomycota; Sordariomycetes; Diaporthales; Schizoparmaceae. The record is from the annotation of a GenBank genome assembly.
GGUCCUUUGGCGCAAUGGUAGCGCGUUACUUUCCGGUUCACUGGUUAACAUUGGUAAAGGUUCACGGUUCGAGUCCGUGGAGGAUCG